AGCGAACGCUGGCGGCAGGCUUAACACAUGCAAGUCGAGCGGGCACUUUCGGGUGUCCGCGGCGGACGGGUGAGUAACGCGUGGGAACGUGCCCUCUGGUUCGGAAUAACUCAGGGAAACUUGAGCUAAUACCGGAUACGCCCUUUUGGGGAAAGGCUUGCUGCCGGAGGAUCGGCCCGCGUCUGAUUAGCUAGUUGGUGAGGUAACGGCUCACCAAGGCGACGAUCAGUAGCUGGUCUGAGAGGAUGAUCAGCCACACUGGGACUGAGACACGGCCCAGAAUCCUACGGGAGGGAGGAGUGGGGGAUAUUGGAAAAUGGGGGCAAGCCUGAUCCAGCCAUGCCGCGUGAGUGAUGAAGGCCUUAGGGUUGUAAAGCUCUUUUAUCCGGGACGAUAAUGACGGUACCGGAGGAAUAAGCCCCGGCUAACUUCGUG
This 435-nucleotide ribosomal RNA is filed under the name uncultured bacterium. RNAcentral's name for it is "partial 16S ribosomal RNA". It matches the Rfam family "Bacterial small subunit ribosomal RNA", at positions 29 to 507 of the family's 1533-position model. The record is from RNAcentral.